GGGCUGUCGGAUAUUGGGCGUAAGCGAGCGCAGGUGGUUUAUUAAGUCUGGUGUAAAAGGCAGUGGCUCAACCAUUGUAUGCAUUGGAAACUGGUAGACUUGAGUGCAGGAGAGGAGAGUGGAAUUCCAUGUGUAGCGGUGAAAUGCGUAGAUAUAUGGAGGAACACCGGUGGCGAAAGCGGCUCUCUGGCCUGUAACUGACACUGAGGCUCGAAAGCGUGGGGAGCAAACAGGAUUAGAUACCCUGGUAGUCCACGCCGUAAACGAUGAGUGCUAGAUGUAGGGAGCUAUAAGUUCUCUGUAUCGCAGCUAACGCAAUAAGCACUCCGCCUGGGGAGUACGACCGCGAGGUUGAAACUCAAAGGAAUUGACGGGGGCCCCGCACAAGCGGUGGAGCAUGUGGUUUAAUUCGAAGCAACGCGAAGAACCUUACCAGGUCUUGACAUACUCGUGCUAUUCCUAGAGAUAGGAAGUUCCCUUCGGGACACGGGAUACAGGUGGUGCAUGGGUUGUCGUCAGCCUCGUGUCGUGAGAUGUUGGGUUAAGUCCCCGCAACGAGCGCAACCCCUAUUGUUAGUUGCCAUCAUUUAGUUGGGCACUCUAACGAGACUGCCGGUGAUAAACCCGAGGAAGGUGGGGAUGACGUCAAUCAUCAUGCCCCUUAUGACCUGGCUACACACGUGCUACAUGGAUGGUACACCGAGUCCUCGAGACAGUGAUGUUAGCUAUCCUCCUCACACCAUCCUCAGUCGAAUGUAGCUGCAACUCGCCUACAUGAGGUCCGAAUCAGCUAGUAAUCGCGAUCAGCACGCCCGCGUGAAUCUUCCUCCCCCGGCUUA
RNAcentral lists this ribosomal RNA (839 nucleotides) under Lactococcus lactis. Its description in RNAcentral is "bacterial SSU rRNA". It matches the Rfam family "Bacterial small subunit ribosomal RNA", at positions 538 to 1382 of the family's 1533-position model. Lineage: Bacteria; Bacillati; Bacillota; Bacilli; Lactobacillales; Streptococcaceae. The record is from RNAcentral.